This 301-nucleotide ribosomal RNA is filed under the name uncultured bacterium. Its description in RNAcentral is "partial 16S ribosomal RNA". It matches the Rfam family "Bacterial small subunit ribosomal RNA", at positions 509 to 807 of the family's 1533-position model. The record is from RNAcentral.
CAGCCGCCGCGGGAAUACGUAGGGUGCAAGCGUUAAUCGGAAUUACUGGGCGUAAAGCGUGCGCAGGCGGUUAUAUAAGACAGAUGUGAAAUCCCCGGGCUCAACCUGGGAACUGCAUUUGUGAAUGUAUAGCUAGAGUACGGCAGAGGGGGAUGGAAUUCCGCGUGUAGCAGUGAAAUGCGUAGAUAUGCGGAGGAACACCGAUGGCGAAGGCAAUCCCCUGGGCCUGUACUGACGCUCAUGCACGAAAGCGUGGGGAGCAAACAGGAUUAGAUACCCCCGUAGUCCCUGUCUCUUAUAC